AUACGGAGGAUGCAAGCGUUAUCCGGAUUUAUUGGGUUUAAAGGGUGCGUAGGCGGAUGAUUAAGCGUGAGGUGAAAUGCCACUGCUCAACAGUGGAACUGCCUCGCGAACUGGUUGUCUUGAAUGCUCCUGCCGUGGGAGGAAUGUGUGGUGUAGCGGUGAAAUGCAUAGAGAUCACACAGAACACCGAUUGCGAAGGCAUCUCACGAAGGGGUGAUUGACGCUGAGGCACGAAAGCGUGGGGAUCAAACAGGAUUAGAUACCCUGGUAGUCCACGCAGUAAACGAUGAUGGCUAACCGCUGGGCUUAUCAGUUCAGUGGCCAAGCGAAAGCGAUAAGCCAUCCACCUGGGGAGUACGACCGCAAGGUUGAAACUCAAAUGAAUUGACGGGG
This 393-nucleotide ribosomal RNA is filed under the name uncultured bacterium. RNAcentral's name for it is "partial 16S ribosomal RNA". It matches the Rfam family "Bacterial small subunit ribosomal RNA", at positions 523 to 918 of the family's 1533-position model. The record is from RNAcentral.